RNAcentral lists this ribosomal RNA (459 nucleotides) under uncultured bacterium. RNAcentral describes it as "bacterial SSU rRNA". It matches the Rfam family "Bacterial small subunit ribosomal RNA", at positions 8 to 502 of the family's 1533-position model. The record is from RNAcentral.
AGAGUUUGAUCCUGGCUCAGAACGAACGCUGGCGGCAGGCCUAACACAUGCAAGUCGAGCGCACUUAUUUCCUUCGGGUUAUAGGCGAGCGGCGGACGGGUUAGUAACGCGUGGGAACGUACCCUUUACUACGGAAUAGCCUUUGGAAACGAAGAGUAAUACCGUAUACGCCCUUUGGGGGAAAGAUUUAUCGGUAAAGGAUCGGCCCGCGUUAGAUUAGAUAGUUGGUGGGGUAAUGGCCUACCAAGUCUACGAUCUAUAGCUGGUUUGAGAGGAUGAUCAGCAACACUGGGACUGAGACACGGCCCAGACUCCUACGGGAGGCAGCAGUGGGGAAUCUUAGACAAUGGGCGCAAGCCUGAUCUAGCCAUGCCGCGUGAGUGAAGAAGGCCUUAGGGUCGUAAAACUCUUUCGCCAGAGAUGAUAAUGACAGUAUCUGGUAAAGAAACCCCGCUAACU